UAGUUCGAGCUUAUUGGCACUGGCGGACAAAAUCUGAAUACUUUUACAAAGAGCCCCUGUUUUUUUUUGCCUGGGCCCCUUUGUUCUCCUUGCCUCUCUCUGACCCUCUAGCAAUCACCAUGGUAAUUACCAAGUAAUGCCCUAUUUACAAGUACCUUCCGAAAUCUGCUGGAGUUUUGCUUGAGCCUGUAACAAAAAUGUUUCUCCCCAGAUGAGAAAUCGGGUUAUUUCUCAAAUUCAAACUUUCUGAAACAAGACUGAAAAGGCAGUGAAUAGCUGGCAUCCUGCUGAAGUUAACAGAUCUGUGGGGAUUUACACUAGAUAAGCAUCUGCCCAGCGUCUGCCCGAGGCAAUACCUCUAACCAGAAGUGUGUAGGUCGUGGUAAUCGGGAGAGAAAGAAGUGGUUUUAUGUUUUGUGCUGCUAAUAAAAAUAGGCAGUGCACUGCAUGUAUUUCUGAGGACAGCAGAAAGUUUUCAGCAAUCUUUCUGAUUUUGGAGAGUCUGGUCUUACUUGCUGUGUGACCAGUUGGUAUUUCCCUUGUGAAGCCUGUGCCAUAGGACAGGUUUCCCAAAGAGGUGGUGGGAUCUCUGUCUGUCGGGCUGUUUAAAAUUUGACUUGGUCGUGGCCCUGAAGAAGCUGAUCUAACCUGGGUUAUAACCAUGUUUUAUAGGUUUGUGUUGAAGAAGAAACCUUGUCAUUUCUGCGGUUCUCUCUGUUCCUGUGCUAAAAAACACGAUUUCCAGAAGUUUCUCUCAAAACAGCUCAUGUCCUGACAACGAUACAGGAAAGUGAUCUGAGAACACAAGGAAAGGACUUCUCAAAAACGCCAGGCACGGAGCAAUCUGGUCAGGAUCACUUGGGAUGGCACAGUGGAUGAGGGACACCAGACACCAAGUUUUUCAUUGAGUCUCCUGCAGCCCCUAUUGGGGUACCUCUUGAAAGAAGAUGGAAGAACUGGAAAAAGACAGGAAUAUAUUGGGACAAUAAUGAGAAGAAAUAGCCAACUAUAUCAAGACAUGCUGGUCUAG
Molecule: long non-coding RNA, 1030 nt
Filed under: Cyanistes caeruleus (blue tit)
Lineage: Eukaryota; Metazoa; Chordata; Aves; Passeriformes; Paridae
Description: lncRNA (ENSCCEG00000014437.1)
Source: RNAcentral